GCACAAUACAGUCAUUAUCAUUUAUGAUAAGGAAUCCGAAUAAGAUUAAUUAAUAGUUAUAUCAGUGACGGAUUCAAAAAAAGGGGAUCCGCCAGUUUGAAACCCUUUUUUAACUAUCAAUGCAUUUGUAUGGGAACAUAUAUUUGAAAUCCCCUUUUCUCCUGGAUUGGACCCCCUCUCCAUUUAAAAAUGGCCGGAACCCCCAAUGUAUAUAAAGUGAUUUAUGAGGAGAUGCGCUUACAAAACCGGCGAAACAUAUUGUACCUGUCCAACGGACGAACGGAAAGACGGACU
RNAcentral lists this long non-coding RNA (294 nucleotides) under Mytilus galloprovincialis (Mediterranean mussel). The record is from RNAcentral. Lineage: Eukaryota; Metazoa; Mollusca; Bivalvia; Mytilida; Mytilidae.